UAUUCAGCGGGCAGGGGUGGGGGUGGGGGAAUGUAGCUCUGGAACUCCCUUUAGAUCAGGUUAGCCUCCCAAGAUCUGCCUGCCUCUGACUCUGGGAUUAAAGGGUCUACAAAUUAAUUUUACUAAUUGAAGCUAAAAAUCGUGGUCUGGAGAGAGUUCAGCAGUUGAGAGCACUUACUACUGUUGCAGAAAACCUAGUUUGAUUCCCAGCACCCAUGCACUGUAGCUCACAAGUUUCUGUAACUCCAGCUCCAGGAGAUCCAGUGCCCUCUUCUGGCUACCUUGAACACUGCACACAUGGUACGCAUACAGAGAAAUAGUCAUAUUCACAAAAUAAAAAUAAGUCUCUUUUUUAAG
Molecule: long non-coding RNA, 357 nt
Organism: Mastomys coucha (southern multimammate mouse)
Lineage: Eukaryota; Metazoa; Chordata; Mammalia; Rodentia; Muridae
Exons: 2
Source: RefSeq, a predicted model, not a curated record